Molecule: ribosomal RNA, 253 nt
Filed under: uncultured bacterium
Lineage: Bacteria
Description: partial 16S ribosomal RNA
Rfam family: Bacterial small subunit ribosomal RNA
Source: RNAcentral
UACGAAGGGGGCUAGCGUUAUUCGGAAUUACUGGGCGUAAAGCGCACGUAGGCGGCUUUGUAAGUAAGAGGUGAAAGCCCAGAGCUCAACUCUGGAAUUGCCUUUUAGACUGCAUCGCUUGAAUCAUGGAGAGGUCAGUGGAAUUCCGAGUGUAGAGGUGAAAUUCGUAGAUAUUCGGAAGAACACCAGUGGCGAAGGCGGCUGACUGGACAUGUAUUGACGCUGAGGUGCGAAAGCGUGGGGAGCAAACAGG